AACUUCUGAAUGUUGACCUCGGAUCAGGUAGGAUA
RNAcentral lists this ribosomal RNA (35 nucleotides) under Fusarium avenaceum. Its description in RNAcentral is "partial 28S ribosomal RNA". Lineage: Eukaryota; Fungi; Ascomycota; Sordariomycetes; Hypocreales; Nectriaceae. The record is from RNAcentral.